UCUCUGAGAGCUCAGUUGGUAAAGAAUCUGCCUGCAAUGCAGGAGACCCUGGUUCGAUUCCUGGGUUGGGAA
Non-coding RNA from Bos taurus (domestic cattle), 72 nucleotides. Lineage: Eukaryota; Metazoa; Chordata; Mammalia; Artiodactyla; Bovidae. The record is from Rfam.